AACCUUUGGAGAAUUAUUGAAGAAGGUUUCUAUCCUCAUGAUCCAAGCAACUUCACCCCUCGAGAAGAAGUGGACAACCAAUUCAAUGAGAGUGCUCUCUUCAUCAUCCAAGAUGCUAUCCUUCCCGAAGAUCUCCCUCAUCUUCGACCUCAUGUCAUGGCUAAAGAAGCAUGGAAGUGUGUCGAGCGUAUGUAUAGAGGAAGUGCUAGCAUUCAACGCUCCAACUAUGAAGUGGUGCAAGAUGAAGCCGAUGAGUUUGCAAUGAAAGAGGAUGAAGAACCUCGUGAGCUCUUUCUAAGAGUGACCAAACUUGUGGUCGCACUCCGAGAUCAUGGGAGUAAAGACACGGAUGACAACUGGAUCAAGCGCAAGUUCCUCAAGGCCAUGAUGCCCUACAACAAGGCCAUGUCCUCCAUCAUCCGCCAAAGACCGGACUUCCACUCCAUGACCUCUAAUGAAGUGUUGGAUGAGUUUGUUGCAAUGAACAUCUUGGAU
Molecule: ribosomal RNA, 495 nt
Filed under: Triticum aestivum (bread wheat)
Lineage: Eukaryota; Viridiplantae; Streptophyta; Magnoliopsida; Poales; Poaceae
Description: partial small subunit ribosomal RNA
Source: RNAcentral